This 1995-nucleotide ribosomal RNA is filed under the name Triticum aestivum (bread wheat). Its description in RNAcentral is "partial small subunit ribosomal RNA". The record is from RNAcentral. Lineage: Eukaryota; Viridiplantae; Streptophyta; Magnoliopsida; Poales; Poaceae.
AUGGCCGGGGACUUCAAUAAAAUUCUGCAUGCACACGAAAAAGAAGGGGGUGCAACCCGAUCACAACAGUGCAUGCAAGCUUUUAGUGACACCCUACGUGACUGUAACCUUGAUGAUUUGGGUUACUCAGGAGACAUAUUCAGUUGGCGCAGAGGUCGUAUUCGUGAGAGGCUGGAUAGGGCAGUGGGAAAUAGCUCUUGGGCCGACCUUUUCCCUUGCUUUGGAGUCUCAAAUGAACCGUUCAAUAAAUCUGAUCAUCGCCCUAUAUUGAUCGACACUGAAUAUCAGUUGGGGCUGCAGCCGAGGGGUCCAGUGGGACAAAGAAAAUUUGAAGCAAGAUGCCUUGCUGAAGAGGACGUGGACACUAUUGUGCAGGAGGCUUGGGAGAGGGCAAAAUCACUAGGCAUCGAGCCGUUCUCACAAGUGACUAGUGAUGUUCAUCUUGCCUUACACAGAUGGGACAAAGAAACUUUGAAAGGUCCACGGACGAGACUACGAGAACUCCAGAAAAAACUAAAUGAGGUAAUGUCAGGGCCGCUAUCGGAUGAGGCAGUUGCUCAACAACAUGACCUACAUCUGCAGAUUGAAAACCUCCUUGAACAGGAGGAGAUUUACUGGAUGCAACGAGGCUGCGCAGAUUGGCUUUGUCGUGGGGAUCAGAAUACUGAUUUCUUCCACCGCGCAGCAACAGGGAGACAAAAGAAGAAUUUCAUUAAACGUUUGAAGGAUGAUGCGGGAAAUUGGUUAGAGGACCAGAACCAAAUUAAGAUGCAUGCGGCGUCUUAUUUUUCCUCUUUGUUCACAUCGGGUGUCCUGGAGCCCGACCAAGAGGUGCGAGUGAAUAAUUUCCUUUCAGAUUAUUUUGUGCCUACUAGGGGGCUCCGACAAGGAGACCCGCUGUCACCCUAUUUGUUUUUACUAUGUGCCGAGGGUCUUUCAAGCCUACUUAUGCAUGAGGAGGAGAAUGGAAAUCUGUUGGGGGUUAAGGUGUGCAGGGAUGCGCCGGCAGUGUCCCACCUUUUGUUCGCUUUUGACUCACUCGUUCUCAUGAGGGCGGACGCCACCAAUGCAGCGAGUCUCCGCCGCGCACUUGAUGAUUAUUGUGCAGCUUCCGGCCAGCUGAGUUUAUGGAGUGGUAUCCAAACUUUCAAAAAAGGGUACAUUUGGAGGGUGGGAGACGGCACCCAAAUCAGCAUAUGGGAUGACCCGUGGGUUCCUAGCAGCCCAAACAGAAGAGUUAUGACAAGGAGAGGGAUAUUCACGGUUAAGACCGCCUAUCAUAUGGAGUGGGAUCACCAGCAUGAACGAAAGUUGAGGAGAACCAAUUCUAUGAUCUCCGCAAGUACUAGUCCUAUAUGGAGUAUUCUCUGGAAAUUUGCCCUAUUUGCGGUCUGGAUUGUGAGAGUAUCAGCCAUGCUUUCUUCAAGUGUCAACGUGUUCAAGCUGUCUGGUGUGCACUGGGCAUGGCAAACAGGAUCAACGAGCUUUGCUCCCUCGAAAGGGAAGCUACAGGAUCCUACACGAUCAGCACAAGCAAUUUCGACGCUGUCCAAGAACUUCUCAAGAGCAAAUAAAAAGGGUCCAGGCCAGAUUGAGAGACAUGGAUGGACCAAGCCAAGUGAGGGAUUUGUAAAACUCAACGUAGAUGCCUCUUUUUCUGAGGACAGUGGUUCAGGGGGUUCAGGUGCAAUCUUACGCGAUGCUUCUGGAUCCUUCAUUGCAGCAUCAUGGAGCGACAUUCGAUUCAUUGAGGACGCGGCGACGGCGGAAGCCGGAGGGCUCCGAGACGGCCUUAUUCUGGCAAACGACAUGGGCUGCAACAAACUGGUGAUUGAGGCUGACUGUAUGGAAGUAAUCCAAGUGAUGCAAUCUGGAGGCAACUCGCUUGGACCGGCAACAGCUAUUUAUGAGGAGCGCGCUUUUAUUGUCGUAAUUUUGCUUCAGUUAGUUUUCAACACUGCCCUAGGGAAGCCAAUAUGGCGGCUGAUAUGUUAG